This 486-nucleotide ribosomal RNA is filed under the name uncultured bacterium. Its description in RNAcentral is "partial 16S ribosomal RNA". It matches the Rfam family "Bacterial small subunit ribosomal RNA", at positions 30 to 507 of the family's 1533-position model. The record is from RNAcentral.
AUUGAACGCUGGCGACAUGCCUUACACAUGCAAGUCGAACGGCAGCACGGGUGCUUGCACCUGGUGGCGAGUGGCGAACGGGUGAGUAAUACAUCGGAACAUGUCCUGUAGUGGGGGAUAGCCCGGCGAAAGCCGGAUUAAUACCGCAUACGAUCUACGGAUGAAAGCGGGGGACCUUCGGGCCUCGCGCUGUAGGGUUGGCCGAUGGCUGAUUAGCUAGUUGGUGGGGUAAAGGCCUACCAAGGCGACGAUCAGUAGCUGGUCUGAGAGGACGACCAGUCACACUGGGACUGAGACACGGCCCAGACUACUACGGGAGGCAGCAGUGGGGAAUUGUGGACAAUGGGCGAAAGCCUGAUCCAGCAAUGCCGAGUGUGUGAAGAAGGCCUUCGGGUUGUAAAGCACUUUUGUCCGGAAAGAAAUCCUUGGCCCUAAUACGGUCGGGGGAUGACGGUACCGGAAGAAUAAGCACCGGCUAACUACGUG